CCCAAGAGCCUGGCCUUGGAGCUGGAGGACAUGUCGGGAGAGGAGGUCGAUAGUGGUGAAACGUUGCAAAAGCUGAAGAAGUCGCUGCUGGAGCAGCAGGACGUGAACAAGCAGCUGCGCACGUACAUCGACGGCAUCCUGCUCAG
This is a long non-coding RNA of Pollicipes pollicipes, 146 nucleotides long. RefSeq lists it as uncharacterized. The record is from RefSeq and is a predicted model, not a curated record. The transcript is spliced from 3 exons. NCBI's taxonomy places the organism in Eukaryota, Metazoa, Arthropoda, Thecostraca, Pollicipedomorpha, Pollicipedidae.